AACGAACGCUGGCGGCAGGCCUAACACAUGCAAGUCGAACGCUGUAGCAAUACAGAGUGGCAGACGGGUGAGUAACACGUGGGAAUCUUCCUAUCGGUACGGAAUAGCUCAGGGAAACUUGGGGUAAUACCGCAUACGCCCUUCGGGGGAAAGAUUUAUCGCCGAUAGAUGAGCCCGCGUCUGAUUAGCUAGUUGGUGAGGUAAUGGCUCACCAAGGCGACGAUCAGUAGCUGGUCUGAGAGGAUGACCAGCCACACUGGGACUGAGACACGGCCCAGACUCCUACGGGAGGCAGCAGUGGGGAAUAUUGGACAAUGGGCGCAAGCCUGAUCCAGCCAUGCCGCGUGAGUGACGAAGGUCUUCGGAUUGUAAAGCUCUUUUGGCGGGGACGAUAAUGACGGUACCCGCAGAACAAGCCCCGGCUAACUUCGUGCCAGCAGCCGCAGUAA
Molecule: ribosomal RNA, 449 nt
Filed under: uncultured bacterium
Lineage: Bacteria
Description: partial 16S ribosomal RNA
Rfam family: Bacterial small subunit ribosomal RNA
Source: RNAcentral